UUCUGAAUAACAAUGCAAACAUAAACACACAACUAUGGUAAAACUUUUAACUCUUAACCUGCUGGGAUUCACGCAUUCUGUGCGAGGAUAAGGCUCGGUUAGAGAAAAGUUCACUAUCCACACUUAGCCCGCACGUCAAAAUGCGGGCUUUUUUUAUCGAAU
This 162-nucleotide non-coding RNA is filed under the name Glaesserella parasuis SH0165. Its description in RNAcentral is "Haemophilus parasuis SH0165 Actinobacillus sRNA 14". It matches the Rfam family "Actinobacillus sRNA 14". From Rfam's summary of the family: Arrc stands for Actinobacillus pleuropneumoniae Regulatory RNA Candidate. The record is from Rfam by way of RNAcentral. Lineage: Bacteria; Pseudomonadati; Pseudomonadota; Gammaproteobacteria; Pasteurellales; Pasteurellaceae.